Molecule: ribosomal RNA, 466 nt
Filed under: Boophis goudotii
Lineage: Eukaryota; Metazoa; Chordata; Amphibia; Anura; Mantellidae
Description: partial 16S ribosomal RNA
Rfam family: Bacterial large subunit ribosomal RNA
Source: RNAcentral
CACAUUGUUCUUUAAAUGAGGACCAGUAUCAACGGCAUCACGAGGAUCCUACUGUCUCCCCCCUCUAAUCAGUGAAACUGAUCUCUCCGUGAAGAAGCGGGGAUGAACAUAUAAGACGAGAAGACCCCAUGGAGCUUUAAACCCGACAGCACCCGCUCAUUCUAAACCCAAUUAUACGCCCGUACCUGUCUGCUCGGUUUUAGGUUGGGGUGACCGCGGAGUAUAAAAUAACCUCCAUGAAGAAAGGGAUAAAUGCCCUUAUUAGAGAAAGACACUUCCAAAAACUAACAAAUUAAUUUUUAAUGAUCCGAUAUUCGAUCAACGAACCAAGUUACCCUGGGGAUAACAGCGCAAUCCACCUCGAGAGCUCCUAUCGACAGGCGGGUUUACGACCUCGAUGUUGGAUCAGGGUAUCCCAGUGGUGCAGCAGCUACCAAAGGUUCGUUUGUUCAACGAUUAAAACCCU